Diabrotica virgifera virgifera (western corn rootworm) is the source of this 707-nucleotide long non-coding RNA. RefSeq lists it as uncharacterized. The record is from RefSeq and is a predicted model, not a curated record. The transcript has 2 exons. Lineage: Eukaryota; Metazoa; Arthropoda; Insecta; Coleoptera; Chrysomelidae.
CUAACUGGGGGCACAUAACAUAACAUAACCUAAUCCUAAUAUUUACAUUUGUAAAGAAUAUCCUGUUUGUUUUUAUUGUCGAUUGUUCAGCGAAAUUGUGUGCAGCAAAUCAAAUAUAAAGUAGUUUAUCGCCUACAGAACUGAAUUAAUCCAUAGCAGUUAUCAGUUUUUCUUUCUUGGGAAGCUUAUACAUGUAACUUGUAUUGUUGUAAAUUGUGGGAGUAGGGCAGACAGGGAAAAGUCUUAUUUUGUACUGUUCCCAAGGCUCCCCAUGCAAUACAUUUAAAUGAAUUAUCCAAACAAAGCUGGGGACAAUGGAUAAAAGCCACAAGAAGAACAGAUAUAAGGGAACUAAAAUUAAAAUAUGAAAAGUAAACAUUUUAUAAGUGGAACAACCACCAGAUAUUUAAAAGGUAUAAAAAGAAGAAACUGCUGGAAUUUCAAAACAAAUGUGUUUGACUAGUAAAGAUUUGGAUAAAUAACAGGAGUUACUUUGGGCUAUAGCUAAGUGCAGAUUUAUUUCCUUGUGGCUUCCUAUGUUAAUUCUUAUUAAUUAUACACUUAAAUAUGUUUUUAGUCUCAGGAAGAUUUUAUAUUUGAUUAUUUUUGAAUAAACAUUAUUAUUAUUAUUACCUUAAUUUCCAUUAAAUAAAUUAACUGUAAUCAAUAAAGUAAUCGUUUAAUUGUUAAUAAAUUAUCAAGUAUGA